Molecule: transfer RNA, 75 nt
Filed under: Halobacteriovoraceae bacterium
Lineage: Bacteria; Pseudomonadati; Bdellovibrionota; Bacteriovoracia; Bacteriovoracales; Halobacteriovoraceae
Also listed under: 1 other name
Description: tRNA-Val
Rfam family: tRNA
About the family: Transfer RNA (tRNA) molecules are approximately 80 nucleotides in length. Their secondary structure includes four short double-helical elements and three loops (D, anti-codon, and T loops).
Source: RNAcentral
GGUCGUGUAGCUCAGUGGGAGAGCACUACGUUGACAUCGUAGGGGUCACAAGUUCAAUCCUUGUCACGACCACCA